RNAcentral lists this ribosomal RNA (320 nucleotides) under uncultured Lachnospiraceae bacterium. Its description in RNAcentral is "bacterial SSU rRNA". It matches the Rfam family "Bacterial small subunit ribosomal RNA", at positions 28 to 339 of the family's 1533-position model. Lineage: Bacteria; Bacillati; Bacillota; Clostridia; Lachnospirales; Lachnospiraceae. The record is from RNAcentral.
GAUGAACGCUAGCUACAGGCUUAACACAUGCAAGUCGAGGGGCAUCAUUAUCGAAGCUUGCUUUGAUAGAUGGCGACCGGCGCACGGGUGAGUAACGCGUGGGCAACCUGCCUCAUACUGGGGGAUAGCAGUUGGAAACGACUGAUAAUACCGCAUAAGCGCACGGUGUCGCAUGACACAGUGUGAAAAACUCCGGUGGUAUGAGAUGGGCCCGCGUCAGAUUAGCUAGUUGGUAAGGUAACGGCUUACCAAGGCGACGAUCUGUAGCCGGACUGAGAGGUCGGACGGCCACAUUGGGACUGAGACACGGCCCAAACUCC